This 303-nucleotide ribosomal RNA is filed under the name uncultured bacterium. RNAcentral describes it as "partial 16S ribosomal RNA". It matches the Rfam family "Bacterial small subunit ribosomal RNA", at positions 507 to 807 of the family's 1533-position model. The record is from RNAcentral.
AGCAGCCGCCGCGGGAAUACGGAGGGUGCAAGCGUUAAUCGGAAUUACUGGGCGUAAAGCGCACGCAGGCGGUCUGACAAGUCAGAUGUGAAAUCCCCGGGCUUAACCUGGGAACUGCAUUUGAAACUGUCAGGCUGGAGUCUUGUAGAGGGGGGUAGAAUUCCAGGUGUAGCGGUGAAAUGCGUAGAGAUCUGGAGGAAUACCGGUGGCGAAGGCGGCCCCCUGGACAAAGACUGACGCUCAGGUGCGAAAGCGUGGGGAGCAAACAGGAUUAGAUACCCCUGUAGUCCCUGUCUCUUAUAC